RNAcentral lists this ribosomal RNA (803 nucleotides) under uncultured bacterium. Its description in RNAcentral is "bacterial SSU rRNA". It matches the Rfam family "Bacterial small subunit ribosomal RNA", at positions 8 to 796 of the family's 1533-position model. The record is from RNAcentral.
AGAGUUUGAUCAUGGCUCAGGACGAACGCUGGCGGCGUGCUUAACACAUGCAAGUCGAGCGAGAACCGAACCCUCGGGUCCGGGGAAAGCGGCGAACGGGUGAGUAACACGUGGGCAACCUGCCCUGGAGACUGGGAUAACGUCCCGAAAGGGACGCUAAUACCGGAUGACGCGUGGUCCGCCAAGUGGACUACGCCAAAUGGUAGCUUCGGCUUCUGCUCUGGGAUGGGCCCGCGCCGGAUUAGCUAGUUGGUGAGGUAACGGCUCACCAAGGCAACGAUCCGUAGCUGGUCUGAGAGGACGAUCAGCCACACUGGGACUGAGACACGGCCCAGACUCCUACGGGAGGCAGCAGUGGGGAAUCUUGCGCAAUGGGCGAAAGCCUGACGCAGCAACGCCGCGUGAGCGAAGAAGGCCUUCGGGUUGUAAAGCUCUGUCAGGAGGGACGAAGCCACUCAGGUUAAUAGCCGAGAGGGUGACGGUACCUCCAGAGGAAGCCCCGGCUAACUACGUGCCAGCAGCCGCGGUAAUACGUAGGGGGCAAGCGUUGUCCGGAAUCAUUGGGCGUAAAGCGCGUGUAGGCGGCCAUCCAAGUCCGAUGUGAAAGCUCGGGGCUCAACCCCGAGUCUGCAUUGGAAACUGGUUGGCUUGAGUCCGGAAGAGGAGACUGGAAUUCCUGGUGUAGCGGUGAAAUGCGCAGAUAUCAGGAAGAACACCGGUGGCGAAGGCGGGUCUCUGGGACGGUACUGACGCUGAGACGCGAAAGCGUGGGGAGCAAACAGGAUUAGAUACCCUAGUAGUCC